RNAcentral lists this long non-coding RNA (380 nucleotides) under Mytilus galloprovincialis (Mediterranean mussel). The record is from RNAcentral. Lineage: Eukaryota; Metazoa; Mollusca; Bivalvia; Mytilida; Mytilidae.
UAUGUUAUGUGGAAGAAAUUACGUAUUUGCGUUUAUAGAAGCUGUGGUUAGUUUCACCGGAAGUUGGUGUUAAUUUCACCGGAAGUUGGUGUUAGUUUUACCGGAAAUCCGUGUGAUUCACCGGAAGUUGGUGUUAGUUUUACCGGAAGUCCGUGUUUUAUUUACCGGAUGUGGCAUAUCAAUAUAAAAGCUAUGCAAUUAGUGAAAUAUAUUUAAUAAGUGAAUAUAUAGUGAGCCAUACAUCUUAUUGAUGUUAAAAGCGUAUACAAGUCAAUAUUAAAUAGUGAAAGUUUAGAAUAAUUCAAUUUGAAGUAUUUGAUGUUCCAAGCGACGUCCUAGAUCUUGACCGCAAACAGAGUGUAUGGUAGCAGAUGUGAUGA